This 448-nucleotide ribosomal RNA is filed under the name uncultured Streptococcus sp. RNAcentral describes it as "bacterial SSU rRNA". It matches the Rfam family "Bacterial small subunit ribosomal RNA", at positions 933 to 1382 of the family's 1533-position model. Lineage: Bacteria; Bacillati; Bacillota; Bacilli; Lactobacillales; Streptococcaceae. The record is from RNAcentral.
UGGAGCAUGUGGUUUAAUUCGAAGCAACGCGAAGAACCUUACCAGGUCUUGACAUCCCGAUGCUAUUUCUAGAGAUAGAAAGUUACUUCGGUACAUCGGUGACAGGUGGUGCAUGGUUGUCGUCAGCUCGUGUCGUGAGAUGUUGGGUUAAGUCCCGCAACGAGCGCAACCCCUAUUGUUAGUUGCCAUCAUUCAGUUGGGCACUCUAGCGAGACUGCCGGUAAUAAACCGGAGGAAGGUGGGGAUGACGUCAAAUCAUCAUGCCCCUUAUGACCUGGGCUACACACGUGCUACAAUGGCCGGUACAAAGGGCAGCGACAUUGCGAGAUGGAGCGAAUCCCGAAAAGCCGGUCUCAGUCCGGAUUGGAGUCUGCAACUCGACUCCAUGAAGUUGGAAUCGCUAGUAAUCGUGGAUCAGCAUGCCACGGUGAAUACGUUCCCGGGCCUU